AAAUAUAAUCCUCCAAAUUUGACUAUGUCCUUUAUUCCUCUAAAAUUUAGGAGAUCGGCUAGAGAUGUCAUAAGGGGAUCGGGCAGUUUAAUUAACUCCAUUAGUUUGUGGACCUUGCGACGAUCUGUCAGUACCCUGUUCUCAUUUUUAUACUUGAAUGAUGGGUGAAGUCCCUCACAUGGAUUGGGGUCAUUAAGGAAAAUCACACUUUAAAUUGUAUAAUACGAUACCCCUAUACAAUCUCCGGGGUAGAGCUUUUGGAGAAGCAAAAUUGUGAAACAGGGGAAGAAUAUACACUUCGGAGGAAUCGUGUUGGGCAAUUUGUGCAAGUUGUUAAUUACAUAGAGUUACUGAAUUUGAGUGUGUAAAAAAUAUCGCUACCAAAAUGUUAUGUGCAUUUACCAACUUAACCAUGACUAGCCUCCUUGUGCAUUAGAGAUGACAAAAACAUGUUCGAAUUUAGCCUCCUUGUGCGCGAGAGAUACAUAUACACGGUACUCGGUUUAUAUCCCAGAGAUGUGAAAGCCAUGGAUUGCUUUUCUUGUCUUGUUUUCAUUUUUGGAUUUGUUAUGCAGUGUCAAAACACACCUUUUGCUUCUGUUAAUUAGUGGAAACGGGGAUGCCCUUGCUGAUGAAACCACAAGGAUUGCGGAGAUAUGAAGUAACUCAUCAUGAUCAGAAAUUCACAAUGCCAACCAUCAUAACUCAGAGCCCAUCAAAAUUGAACUAACAUGCUAGCAGUCUCAUGAAUACACGCACCUAUAUGUGACACGGUGACAUAUCCAUAUGCACACUAGCAGAGCUAUAUGUUGAGGCGAGAUAAGGUCAUGGCCCGGCUAGCCCAGCCACAAUACAAUGUAUAAUUGGGCCUAGAGAGCAGAAUAUUUGAUAUUUCAUUUGGAAUAGCCCACCCAGGCCCGCCUGGGAAUUUUUUGUAGCUCCGCCACAGCAUGUGCAAGGAGGUGUUCUUCUAAAUUACUCCAGCCCAAGCCGAGAGGGGUACGAGUAAGGAAGGAGACCACACGGAAUCCGGGUUACAAGUUUAUAUGGUCAUGACUUGUAGAUCAAUACAGAAUGACUAUAUAAGGAUCUUGGAGGCCACACCAAGUGUAUAUGAGCUUGCGUCUAUGCUUUGUUAAAAAAACAUCAUGACGUACAAGCAAGUCAAGACAGAAAACACCAUGGCAGCUCCAAUAGAUUAAUGGUCGUUUCGUUUAGUCUCGUAUAGACACGUACACCAUUGUAGUUAUCCUCAUAUUAUAAGAUCACAACAAGGCAGGAAGUAGUGGUGUUACCUACAUAAGACCUCAACCUGGGUAAUUGUGUAUUAUUUUUGUAUCGCCUCAUCACAUGUUUUUGACUAUCGAUACCCACAUAUACAGAUCAAUGCAAAUAAAAAAGCAAUGUUGAUACCUCUUCCUGGUGCAUCUUAUUGAUUUGUUCACCUACCUUGAGAUGUUUAAACACCACAUUUCCUCCUCAUUCAAGAAAGCCCGUCAUCUGUUAUUCAUCAAAACUAUACACUUCUACACAAUUCUUCCAUUUGACGAUUUUCAUAUAACAAUUUAUAAGUAGGAAAUGCACAUAAAUAUAGGACAUGAUGAAGCAAAACUAGAAAAACUCAACCAACAUGUAUCACUUCGAGGAAUCGGGACAUCAACAAAGAUGAGGACAAUACUUUCCCCUAAGUAUUUGUUCUUGGUGGGGUGGGCAGGUGAGAUAUCUUUUCCAGAACACAAUGUGCAUUUACUAGGUGAAUUGUGACUAGCGUCCUUGUGCAUCAAAUGUGACAAAAACGCAUCCCAAUUACUAUUUGGUAUGUACCUCAGAAAAGAUAGUGGGCACAUAUUGCAAAGGUUGAGGAAGUUGGUUUCGUGUGUUGUUUCCUAGACCACAACCACAAUGCAAGACGUCAUAACUCAAGCCCCAUGAAGAGUAGAGCAAUAUGUAAAGACAUGUCUAGAAAAAAUGUGUUGCCAUACAACUCCACUUCACCUCUCUCUCUCUCUCUN
RNAcentral lists this long non-coding RNA (2012 nucleotides) under Hordeum vulgare. RNAcentral's name for it is "long non-coding RNA (HVUL_LNC017522)". The record is from RNAcentral. Lineage: Eukaryota; Viridiplantae; Streptophyta; Magnoliopsida; Poales; Poaceae.